This is a non-coding RNA of Maylandia zebra (zebra mbuna), 262 nucleotides long. The record is from RefSeq and is a predicted model, not a curated record. Lineage: Eukaryota; Metazoa; Chordata; Actinopteri; Cichliformes; Cichlidae.
AAGGGCAGGUGGUCAACACUGGGGACAAGAAGCAGACAUACUUCCAAGAGGGAGCUGCAGUGAGGUCAGAGGAGGCGCUGGAAGGUUUCCCUAAUAGUUCCUGGUGAAUCAAAGCAGAACCAUAAAGGUUGCUGGACUGCAUGAUGGCCUUACCCCUGAGCAGUCAUCCUGUUAAAGGAUGAACCAGUUAGAAGCUGUUUUCAAAGUAGCUGAGCAGAUUUCAUCUCAAACAAAGCCGAUGGCAGAAGAUGUCAGAGAAGAA